GGGUAUUCCUACAUAGCUGGUCGAACCCACGGCAAAUGGAUCAUAAAGUCUUAAAAAAAGAAUAGAUACGAUUGCAUUGCAUGUAGUAACAGAUGCGAUCAUACCAGCACUAAUGCACCGGAUCCCAUCAGAACUCCGCAGUUAAGUGUGCUUGGGCGAGAGUAGUACUAAGAUGGGUGACCUCGAAGAAUGUCCUCGUGUUGCAUCCCUC
RNAcentral lists this ribosomal RNA (211 nucleotides) under Arabidopsis thaliana (thale cress). Lineage: Eukaryota; Viridiplantae; Streptophyta; Magnoliopsida; Brassicales; Brassicaceae. The record is from RNAcentral.